AUCCAAAAUCAUAAGCCCAACCUUAGUGACAUAGCUUCGACUAUGCCAAUUGCGACUAAUACCAUCCCACUUUUCAGGAGUGGAGAUUAUGAUGUCUGCUGACAAGAGAGCCAUUAGAUCCGGGGUGUAGUCACCAGUCAUUUCAACCAUCUUCUUUCCAAGUUGGGAAACAAGACGUUUUCUCCAGUCCGUCAUUCUCUCCCGAACAAUAGCCUUUAAAGGUGCUAUAUAGAUAACCUUCAUAUCGGGCUGUGUAUUGAAUAAAUGGAGCAUAGCAAGCUCAGCUGAUAUUGUCUUCCCACUUCCAGUCGGAGCUCCUAAAAGGAUAUUUCUGUCCGUGUGAUACAGCACAUGAAAAGCCUGUGUUUGUAUAGGAUUGAAGUGUGAAAAUUUAUACAAGGCCUCAAAAGUUCCAUUGCCGAGUGCAGUCACAGGAAGGGGUUUCAAAUCUA
This 452-nucleotide unclassified non-coding RNA is filed under the name Hevea brasiliensis (rubber tree). Lineage: Eukaryota; Viridiplantae; Streptophyta; Magnoliopsida; Malpighiales; Euphorbiaceae. The record is from RNAcentral.